This is a long non-coding RNA of Syzygium oleosum, 929 nucleotides long. RefSeq lists it as uncharacterized. The transcript is spliced from 2 exons. NCBI's taxonomy places the organism in Eukaryota, Viridiplantae, Streptophyta, Magnoliopsida, Myrtales, Myrtaceae. The record is from RefSeq and is a predicted model, not a curated record.
AGUUCGUUUACUAUUUAUUUUGAUGGGAUUUCGGUCACUGUAUAAACUGCCCAGAUUUACCCUGAUGCUAUGGAUGUUUAUUUUUAUGAGCGAGAAAUUGUGUAUGACCGCGUGCCAAGCAUGUGUGGCCGUGUGACGUGAUUGUGUGAUGGUAAUGUGUGUUGGCGUAAGGCAUGUGUGGUGUGGGAUUGUGUAUGGCCGUGUGUAUGUGUGGCCGUGUGGUACGUGUGGAAUGUGUGGAACGAAGGUACGGAAAGGUAGGAUUGGUUGGAAAAGGGGAUCCGUCCUGAGGCGUGUACGUUUACGCGGGACGAUGCCGUCCCUGACGAGGUGACGAUGCCCGGCCCGAUGGGGUGUCGAUGCCUGACGAGGUCAGAAGACCGUUGGCCUGAUGCGUUUUACGCGGGCACGGUAAUUAAGGAAAGGGAGAGGUAGGAUUCCUUCCUGAGGCGUGUUCGUUUACGCGGGACGAUGCCGUCCCUGACGAGGUGACGAUGCCCGGCCCGACAGGGUGACGAUGCCUGACGAGGUCAGAAGGCCGUUGGCCUGAUGCGUUUUACGCGGGCGCGGUAGUGGUGGAAGAGUUGAGAUCGAGCAGGAAUUGGCUUGAGACCCCCAGCCGUAAACCCAGGGAACCGCCUCCUCUUUUUGAAGUGCGAAGAGUCGCUCUUGGUGCCCAGUGGAACUGCAAGUGAGUUUCCGGAGACUCAAGCCCAAAGAAUCAUGAGUAGAAUGGAAAUGAGGAUGACCAGUAGGCUUUCCCUAGGGUAUUUUAGGGGUUUUUUAACUUGGGUUAUCCGAUAGUGAAGUUAAGAUAACCAAACCCCUGAUAUUUUGUUAUGACGGUGAUUUCGGAUGCUAGUUUGCUGCAUAUGUUUGUAAUAUAAUGUUAGUUUUUGUGGUGCAGUAAUAUUGUAUGAAAUGCUGUU